Molecule: transfer RNA, 87 nt
Filed under: Salea horsfieldii
Lineage: Eukaryota; Metazoa; Chordata; Lepidosauria; Squamata; Agamidae
Description: tRNA-Gln
Source: RNAcentral
ACCAAACAACUACACCUAGAGAGAGAGGACUUGAACCUCUAUCUAAGAGUCCAAAACUCUACGUAUGCCCAACUAUACUUCCCCCUA